UACAGAGGUCUCAAGCGUUGUUCGGAUUCAUUGGGUUUAAAGGGUGCGUAGGUGGGCAGGUAAGUCAGUGGUGAAAUCUUUGGGCUUAACCCGAAAACUGCCAUUGAUACUAUUUGUCUUGAAUAUUGUGGAGGUCAGCGGAAUAUGUCAUGUAGCGGUGAAAUGCUUAGAUAUGACAUAGAACAACAAUUGCGAAGGCAGCUGGCUACACAUAUAUUGACACUGAUGCACGAAAGCGUGGGGAUCAAACAGG
This 253-nucleotide ribosomal RNA is filed under the name uncultured bacterium. RNAcentral describes it as "partial 16S ribosomal RNA". It matches the Rfam family "Bacterial small subunit ribosomal RNA", at positions 524 to 776 of the family's 1533-position model. The record is from RNAcentral.